Molecule: ribosomal RNA, 252 nt
Filed under: uncultured bacterium
Lineage: Bacteria
Description: partial 16S ribosomal RNA
Rfam family: Bacterial small subunit ribosomal RNA
Source: RNAcentral
CGGGGUGAGUAACGCGUGGGCAACCUGCCCCAUAGAGGGGGACAACAGCUGGAAACGGCUGCUAAUACCGCAUAACAAGGAGAGAGCGCAUGUUCUUUUCUUCAAAGAUUUAUCGCUACGGGAUGGACCCGCGUCUGAUUAGCUAGUUGGUGAGGUAACGGCUCACCAAGGCGACGAUCAGUAGCCGGCUUGAGAGAGUGAACGGCCACAUUGGGACUGAGACACGGCCCAGACUCCUACGGAAGGCAGCAG